RNAcentral lists this unclassified non-coding RNA (21 nucleotides) under Chlamydomonas reinhardtii. RNAcentral's name for it is "small RNA Cre_2668". The record is from RNAcentral. Lineage: Eukaryota; Viridiplantae; Chlorophyta; Chlorophyceae; Chlamydomonadales; Chlamydomonadaceae.
UCGCACGGAGUACGCAAGUGG